GGGGGGCUUUGAAUUAUGCCAAUUACAUUUGCUCUUCCAAAAACAUUUGUUGGUUCCCUCCUAGCAUCGUCAGACCUCCCAGUGGAUGGCACAUUGGUUACGUCAUGAUUUGUUCCAGUAUCUUCCCAGAUUUUGAUUCCAAGAUGGACAGUCACUAACUCCUAGGCCAUCUCUUUUAAAAGGUGGUGAUACUGGAGUUUCCGAUGUGGCUCAGCAGUUAGUGAACCUGACAAGCAUCCAUGAGGACGCAGGUUCAAUCCCUGGCUCCAAUUGGACCCCUAGCCUCGGAACCUCCAUAUGCCACAGGUGUGGCCCUAAAAAAGACAAAAAGACAAAAAAAAAAAUGGUGGUCAUAUAGUUCCUUUCAAAGAGCCCCCAGGGCCAAAAGGGACCAGAGGUGGAGCUGGAUGGGCCCCAGGGCAUGGGCUUCCUCUCAGGGCAGUGAGUGGUGGACCUGCCCCUCCCCCAGCACAGACACUGAGGCUUUCAUACUGCACCCAGGAGGCCAGCGUUCAGACACCUGACUAUACCCUCAUGUUAUCUGGAAGAACAGCAACGCACAACUGGAUAUUACAAUUGCUUCCUCACAAAGUCACAGACAAGCCAGAUCACAAAGACAGGCCUUGGUGGACAAUAAUUAUGUAGCGACAAGCUUAAGAAGAUUCCACAGCACAGAAGAAAUUAGAAAUCUCAACAUUUUUCAAAUAUAUUAAAUGAAAGUAAAAGUAAAAGUAAAAAUUUUCCUAAACCAGAAUAUGUAUUUUUCACAUUUGAGUUCAUUAUUUUUGCUAAUGAAGGCUUCUGUGAAUAGUCUUGUUCACUCCCCAUGUGAGAUGGAUGGUAGAGGAAAGGAAAAUUAGCAGAGGAAGAGGAAUAACGGACCAUCACCUUGCAAAGGGUUGGUUUCUUUGGGGGACUCUAGGCCACCACGUUAGGGGUGGGCAGGCACAGAUUUUAGGCCCUAGCAUGCCUAACAGUGUCUUUAUUUACCCUCAUAUUUUAUGGUUUGAUUGGGUAUAAAAUGAUAGGUUGAACGUAAUUUUCCACUCACAAUUUUUGUCUUUUUGUUUUUGUAGAGGGAACUUUCAAAUGGCCUGAUAACAAUCCACCAGGGUCCUGGUCCAACCAACCCUGUGUCCCAGCCCACACUUUUAAGCAGUUCCUCUGGCAUUGACCAUAGACAACACACUUUUCAAUGAUAUAUGCGUAUUGGUAACUCUUGGCUCAUCUGCUUGUUCUUAUUAUUGUCUUGUUGGUUGGUUGGUUUUCAUGGAGGGUACUAGAGUUUCUGUUUUAGAAAAUUCUAAAGAUGCAUUUAAAAAAAGACAGAGUAGUAUAGUGGACCCACAAUUGUACCAUCACCCAGUUUGGACCAUGACCAGUACAUGGACCAUCUUGUGUUUCACUCAGGAUUUUGAAGGCCUUGUCUUCCCCCAUCCUUGCACUGAGAUGUCUGGUCCAUUCUAGGGUUUUUCUGUGUGAACCAAGUUUGCUUGUUGUUUCCGUUUCAUAGCCCUUAAGAGCUUUUAUUUGGUGAUGGUGUCCUCACAUUAAGUUACCUAAAUGUGGUCAUUUUGUCACAUUCCGCUGGCACCCAGUAGGUUUUUAACAUCUGGACUUUUUUUUUUUUUUUUUUUUUUUUUUUUUUUAGAGCCACACUCAGGUCAUAUGGAAGCUCCCAGGCUAGGAGUCGAAUUGGAGCUACAGCUGCCAGCCUACACCACAGCUAUAGCAACACCCAGAUCUGAACUGUGACCUACACUACAGCUCACGACAAUGCUGGAUCUUUAACCCACAGAGCAAGGCCAGGGAUCGAACCCACGCAUCCUCAUGGAUACUAGUCAUGUUCAUUACUGCUGAGCCACAACAGGAACUCCUUGGACAUCGUUUAGUGCUGAGAAAUUUUCCUUCACUUUAUCCUUCAAACUGUAUAUAGAAAUUGUCUUACUUUACUUACCAUUCUUACAAAUUCCAAGACCUUUUAUUUAUUCCUUGUCCAUACAUAUGUGUGUGGGUGUAUGUAUUCAUCUGAUUUUUUUUAAUGAAUGCAGCAUUUGCUUAUAUGUCUAAUAUUAAUAUUGACUUUUAAAAUUUUUAUUUCUGCUCCCUUUAUUUUUUCUAUUUUCUGUAGGUUAAUUUUUUUUUCUGUUUUAUUUUUUCUGAGCAAAUUUCUAGCAAUGCUUAACUAUCCUCUCAUAUUGAUGACUAAGGUGCUAAACCCAGCCAGGUUGGUUGCAUAUGUAGUGAGGCUGGUGGACUGGUAAGAGUUGCCCACACCUGGUUUCUGAAGGUCUGGAAGGAGCUGGGGAAGGGGUUCAUGUAGCAAAGGGGCAUUUCCAAUAGAUCCCGCCUGGAGACCACUCCCCAUGCUGCCCUUUGGCGGUGCCUGGGACCCCGUGACCAAAACAACCAUGCUUCACUUUCUCCACUAAAUAAACCUUCAGUCUCCUGCAAGAUGGAGAAGGAAGGAACAGCGGCCUCACCUCAACGCAGACGCGGGAGAGCAUCCUCCUCAGCUGGUUCCUGGAGGCUGGCUACCUCCUUUCCAUCAAUGUCCCCAUCUAUAGGCACUUCCUGUGCUCCGCAAAGUCCCCAUUUUCCAUCUGUCCCCUAACUUCCACACACCUGCUGCUGCCUUUCCUCCCAUUUUCUUUGCUACUGUGAAUAAAACCUUUACAAUUCUUAUGCAGGUGGUGGGGUAAAGAAAAGAUAAAUACAUGUGUCUAGUCCGCCAUGUGAAAUCACAUUACAUAGAACAUUUGUUUGCUUCCUAAAGUUCUUUUUCUUUCUUUUUCUGAUUUCACUUUUUUCUUCCUUUUCAAGAUUACAUCUCAUUAUAUUUGUGACUGAUUUCUCUCAACCAUCUACCUGCUUUAUCUUUCAAUCUCCCUCAAUUUCUUCCCUGUUAAGGAUCCACUUAGUUCCGGCCUCUGUCCUAUUUGAUUCCUCUAACCUUCUGAGAGAGGAAAUUCUUUCCAGUGUAGUCUCAAAAGCUAUUCAGUGGUCUGUGGUCAGCUGAAUUGCUUUUCCAGAAGGUAAUGGAAUUAAACGCCCCAUCGUAACUAGAUGUAACUGAAAGCUUUGGUGAGUUGACCAAAAAAGGUUUCCUCAACCUAGUCUCCAUGUGCUUUCCUAUAAAUAGAUUUCACCAAGACGGGGCCCUCAGUCUUAAUCUCUUUUGCCUUAGCACCGGCUGGUUCACGGCCUCAGGCUUCCUGCGUGAUUUCACUUCAUGGAUCGUGGCAUUUACCCCCUGGUGCAGAGCCUUCCUGCCAUAAUGUGAGAAUGUGCAGGGCUUUCUCCUCGGCAAGGAAAGAACUGAACUUCUCAUUAACUCGAAAUUUUUAUGAUCGUCAAAUUAUUCAGGUCUGGUCUUUUGAGAAAGCUAUGAGAGCCAGGAGGACAGCAGCAGAUGAUGACUUUUCUAUAAUAAAUGGUGCUUUUUUUGUACAAGUUUUUAAACAUUGUUUUUUCAGGGAACAGGGAGGACACUGAUAAAACCCAAAACAUUUGGUCGGUAGUUUCUCUACAUGUGCUUCUCCCGGACUCCAGCGCCCCCGCCACUGUCGCUGUCCUUUUCUUUCUAUCCUGCGCUGAAGGAGUUCAACAUACAUUGGGCUGUGAUUCAGACUUUCUUAAAGUACUUUAAACUCUCAAAAGCCCAGGCAGAGAUUGUUAUCACUUUCUGUCUUAGCCAAGCUCCUCAUCAUCUUUGGCGACUAUAUUUCAUUCUCUCUGUUUUCUCUGAGCCAGGAGGGCACAGCCUCACCCUUUGAGCAUCCAUAAAGCCCACAGCAAAGCAAAUGAUCUAGACCCAGAUAACAACACGGCUGGAGCGAAGCAUCCCAGCCUGGCACGAUGACAAUAAAUGGCAGCUAAAUUGGGGCCAAAAAAUACCUAGAGAUGCUGAAACAAAGGUGCAGUAAGAGAGAGUAAGACUUUUAAUCUUUCAGAAUAAAAAAUUAAAUAUUACUUCUACCACACACAUUUGGAAUGUGUUUGAAAAAGCAAUUGAUGCAUGUUUGUUUACAGAUUCGUUGAUCUGUAUCAUCCUGUUAUAUUUAGUUUGGGCUCUAUUCCGUCACAACAUUGUUAGAAGAGCAGUGGCUUAAUCUGAAGAGUGAGAACGAAGUGUUUUUCAAACAAGAAAUGGUGGGAGUUCCCGUCAUCGCUCAGCGGAAGCAAAUCCAACUGGUAUCCAUGAGGAUGUGGGUUCGAUUCCUGACCUCGCUUAGUGGGCCAGGAAUCCAGCAUUAUGAGCUGUGGUGUAGGUCACAGACACAGCUCGGAUCCCGAGUUGCUGUGACUGUGGUGUAGUCCGACAGCUGUAGCUCCAAAUUAACCCCUAGCCUGGGAACUUCCAUAUGGGUGAAGCCCUAAAAUGACAAAAAGAAAAAAAAAAAGGAAAUGGGAGAGGUGAAGAGGAGAUGUGGAAAGAGUGGGCUGGUCCACAUGCUGGUCUCACCCAUUGUCAGGGGCCUGGCACAGACUCUGUGCUUCCUGGGUGCUGAGAGGCUGGAAUGCAGCCAUGAGUGCAGCAGACUUCUCUUUCAUAGCCUUUCCUGACAACUCAACACUUCUGGAAAUAGUUGAAGUCUAAGGGCUUAUCAAACUCCAGACCCCAAACAAUUCAUUCAGCAAGAAAUUUCCCCAUACAGGUUUCAGUAGCACUACUCAGUCAUAUUUUUAGUAUAUAUUUCAGCUUUAUGCCCAGUGGAUAAUCAAUUGCCUCUACAGGAUAUAUUGUAAGUGUGCAGAUAAGGGAGAAAGUUUAUUUUGCCCAAUGGAACAUAAAAGUUUCAACUGUGUGGAGUUCCCAUCGUGGCACAAUGGUUAGCAGAUCUGACUAGGAACCAUGAGGUUGUGGGUUCGAUCCCUGGCCUUGCUUAGUGGGUUAAGGAUCCAUUGUUGCUGUGAUCUGUGGUGUAGGUUGCAGAUGCUGCUCGGAUCCUGCAUUGCUGUGGCUCUGGCGUAGGCUGGCGGCUACAGCUCCGAUUAGACCCCCUAGCCUGGGAACCUCCAUAUGCCG
This 5029-nucleotide long non-coding RNA is filed under the name Sus scrofa (pig). Its description in RNAcentral is "lncRNA (ENSSSCG00000056587.1)". The record is from RNAcentral. Lineage: Eukaryota; Metazoa; Chordata; Mammalia; Artiodactyla; Suidae.